RNAcentral lists this ribosomal RNA (497 nucleotides) under uncultured bacterium. RNAcentral's name for it is "partial 16S ribosomal RNA". It matches the Rfam family "Bacterial small subunit ribosomal RNA", at positions 28 to 507 of the family's 1533-position model. The record is from RNAcentral.
GAUGAACGCUGGCGGCGUGCCUAAUACAUGCAAGUCGAGCGAACAGACGAGGAGCUUGCUCCUCUGACGUUAGCGGCGGACGGGUGAGUAACACGUGGAUAACCUACCUAUAAGACUGGGAUAACUUCGGGAAACCGGAGCUAAUACCGGAUAAUAUAUUGAACCGCAUGGUUCAAUAGUGAAAGACGGUUUUGCUGUCACUUAUAGAUGGAUCCGCGCCGCAUCAGCUAGUUGGUAAGGUAACGGCUUACCAAGGCAACGAUGCGUAGCCGACCUGAGAGGGUGAACGGCCACACUGGAACUGAGACACGGUCCAGACUCCUACAGUAGGCAGCAGUAGAGAAUCUUCCGCGAUGGGCGAAAGCCUGACGGAGCAACGCCGCGUGAGUGAUGAAGGUCUUCGGAUCGUAAAACUCUGUUAUUAGGGAAGAACAAAUGUGUAAGUAACUAUGCACGUCUUGACGGUACCUAAUCAGAAAGCCACGGCUAACUACGUG